AGAGUUUGAUCCUGCCUUCAGGAUGAACGCUAGCUACAGGCUUAACACAUGCAAGUCGAGGGGCAUCAGAUCGAAAGCUUGCUUUUGAUGCUGGCGACCGGCGCACGGGUGAGUAACGCGUAUCCAACCUUCCCUAUAGUAGAGAAUAGCCCGGCGAAAGUCGGAUUAAUGCUCUAUGUUGUAUUUAGAAGACAUCUGAAGAAUACCAAAGGUUUACCGCUAUAGGAUGGGGAUGCGUCUGAUUAGGUAGUAGGCGGGGUAACGGCCCACCUAGCCGACGAUCAGUAGGGGUUCUGAGAGGAAGGUCCCCCACAUUGGAACUGAGACACGGUCCAAACUCCUACGGGAGGCAGCAGUGAGGAAUAUUGGUCAAUGGACGAAAGUCUGAACCAGCCAAGUAGCGUGCAGGAUGACGGCCCUAUGGGUUGUAAACUGCUUUUAUAUAGGGAUAAAGUCGGGGACGUGUCCCCGUUUGUAGGUACUAUAUGAAUAAGGACCGGGCUAAUUCCGUGCCAGCAGCCCGCGGUAAUACGGAAGGUCCAGGCGUUAUCCGGAUUUAUUGGGUUAAAGGGAGCGCAGGCUGAUGAUUAAGCGUGACGUGAAAUGUAGCCGCUCAACGGCUGAACUGCGUCGCGAACUGGUUAUCUUGAGUGAGUUCGAUGUUGGCGGAAUUCGUGGUGUAGCGGUGAAAUGCUUAGAUAUCACGAAGAACUCCGAUUGCGAAGGCAGCCAACAAGGCCUUUACUGACGCUAAAGCUCGAAGGUGCGGG
This 770-nucleotide ribosomal RNA is filed under the name uncultured bacterium. Its description in RNAcentral is "bacterial SSU rRNA". It matches the Rfam family "Bacterial small subunit ribosomal RNA", at positions 8 to 765 of the family's 1533-position model. The record is from RNAcentral.